AUACUUAUCUGGCGUAGGGUCUACUGUUAUUAUUAAGGCAGUUUCACUUAGGCGGGGCUAUUCCUCUGCACUUCGGUUGGGCUGACCCUUGCAAAUAUCCUAAAUGUGAAUCCCUAAAUCGUGCGCACAAUUUUUGAUUCUC
This 142-nucleotide small nuclear RNA is filed under the name Phlebotomus papatasi. RNAcentral describes it as "U1 spliceosomal RNA". It matches the Rfam family "U1 spliceosomal RNA", at positions 1 to 139 of the family's 166-position model. Rfam says of the family: U1 is a small nuclear RNA (snRNA) component of the spliceosome (involved in pre-mRNA splicing). Its 5' end forms complementary base pairs with the 5' splice junction, thus defining the 5' donor site of an intron. There are significant differences in sequence and secondary structure between metazoan and yeast U1 snRNAs, the latter being much longer (568 nucleotides as compared to 164 nucleotides in human). The record is from RNAcentral. Lineage: Eukaryota; Metazoa; Arthropoda; Insecta; Diptera; Psychodidae.